GCCCGGGUGGUGAAAUUGGUAGACACAAGAGACUUAAAAUCUCUCGCCGAAAGGUUUACGGGUUCGACCCCCGUCCCGGGCACCA
Molecule: transfer RNA, 85 nt
Filed under: Betaproteobacteria bacterium HGW-Betaproteobacteria-12
Lineage: Bacteria; Pseudomonadati; Pseudomonadota; Betaproteobacteria
Description: tRNA-Leu
Rfam family: tRNA
About the family: Transfer RNA (tRNA) molecules are approximately 80 nucleotides in length. Their secondary structure includes four short double-helical elements and three loops (D, anti-codon, and T loops).
Source: RNAcentral